AACACAAAGAGACAGAGAGACAAAAUAUGGCACAAACUGUGGGACUGUGACAGAAUGGAUCUAUUUAAUCCGAGGCAGGUUUGUUUGUUCAGACAGCGAGCAGCACAGCCGGGGUGGAGCUGACAGCUGCAGUUUAAUUUCCCCACCAGGCAGAUUGGGCCUGUUGAAAUAAGCCUUUAGAAAAGCAUUCUCAUCUCCACAGGAUAUGCACCGAAAAUAUUAGCUCAGUGAACAAGGCAUCAGCACAGCAACUCCGGCGAGCCUCAAGUCUCCUCUCUCUGUGAAAUGCAUCUCGAUUGAUUUCUGGGUCACAGCUGGAGGACGGAGGAACAAGGAGACGAAAUGAGAGAGAUGAGAGGAGCCCCGGGUAAAUCAAAGAUUUACUUGCCAGGCCUGUUUGAAAUGGCUGGAAGAGGCUUGGUUGCACAGAUGUGGCUCUGUUGCCUUGUUUUACCAGGACAUUAUGCAUUAAACAUAGAAAAUCACAACAUGACUUCUUACUUAUGACCAGAG
Myripristis murdjan (pinecone soldierfish) is the source of this 513-nucleotide long non-coding RNA. RefSeq lists it as uncharacterized. The record is from RefSeq and is a predicted model, not a curated record. The transcript has 3 exons. Lineage: Eukaryota; Metazoa; Chordata; Actinopteri; Holocentriformes; Holocentridae.